This 1235-nucleotide ribosomal RNA is filed under the name metagenome. RNAcentral describes it as "bacterial LSU rRNA". It matches the Rfam family "Bacterial large subunit ribosomal RNA", at positions 1564 to 2808 of the family's 2925-position model. The record is from RNAcentral.
UGAGUACGAGAUGCUACGGCAUCGAAGCAGUCUAUGUCAUACUUCCAAGAAAAGCUUGCACUGUCAUAAACAAAGAAUGCCUGUACCAUAACCGACACAGGUGGGUAGGUAGAGUAUACUAAGGGGCGCGAGAUAACUCUCUCUAAGGAACUCGGCAAAAUGACUCCGUAACUUCGGGAGAAGGAGUGCCUUAUUUCUAAGGUUGCAAUAACAAGAUCCAAGCAACUGUUUACCAAAAACACAGGUCUCCGCUAAGUCGUAAGACGAUGUAUGGGGGCUGACGCCUGCCCAGUGCCAGAAGGUUAAAGAAGUUGGUUAGCAUUAGCGAAGCUGAUAACUGAAGCCCUGGUGAACGGCGGCCGUAACUAUAACGGUCCUAAGGUAGCGAAAUUCCUUGUCGGGUAAGUUCCGACCCGCACGAAAGGCGUAAUGAUUUGGAUACUGUCUCGGAGAGGGGCUCGGUGGGAUAGACUUGUCUGUGAAGAUGCGGACUACCUGCACCUGGACAGAAAGACCCUAUGAAGCUUUACUGUAACUUGAGAUUGAAAUUGGACUUUAUUUGCGCAGUAUAGGUGGGAGGCGUUGAGAAUAAUCUUGCGGGAUUGUUGGAGCCAUCAGUGAGAUACCACUCUUGUAAUGUUAGAUUUCUAACUUUGUAUCAUUAUCUGGUCAAAGAACAGUUUCAGGCGGGCAGUUUGACUGGGGCGGUCGCCUCCCAAAGGGUAACGGAGGCGCACAAAGGUUUCCUCUGAACGGAUAGAAAUCGUAUCUAGAGUGUAAAGGCAUAAGGAAGCUUGACUGUGAGACCUACAAGUCGAGCAGGGACGAAAGUCGGUCUUAGUGAUCUGACGGUGCUGAGUGGAAAGGCCGUCACUCAACGGAUAAAAGUUACUCUAAGGAUAACAGGCUGAUCUCCCCCAAGAGUUCACAUCGACGGGGAGGUUUGGCACCUCGAUGUCGGCUCAUCGCAUCCUGGGGCGGUAGUCCGUCCCAAGGGUUGGGCUGUUCGCCCAUGAAAGCGGUACGCGAGCUGGGUUCAGAACGUCGUGAGACAGUUCGGUCCAUAUCCGGUGUAGGCGUUAGAAUAUUGAGAGGAGCCUUCUCUAGUACGAGAGGACCGAGAAGGACAUACCUCUGGUGUACCAGUUAUCGUGCCAACGGUAAACGCUGGGUAGCUAUGUAUGGAGUGGAUAACCGCUGAAAGCAUCUAAGUGGGAAGCCCACCUCAAGAUAAG